AUGAGUUCGCCACCAUGGUCGAGUACCCUCCACUUACCAAUCAAGCUUCUAGAUUCACCUCGUCCUCUUUACCUGCUUGCUGAUGGAGUGGGUAUUUGGUGUGUGUGUGUGUGUGUGUGUGUGUGUGUGUGUGUGUGCUGCCAGAGCGCUGACAUCGACGAGAGGGCCAUCAGGAGGGAGAAGCCGGAGGAGCUGGUCAAGGCCUUGGCCGAAGCCAAGGCCGACGCCAUUAAACUGAAUCUGGUCGACGGCUGUGCUGAUCGAGACAUCAGAGAUCCGCCUACCCUUCUGAUCACUUCGGACCAGGUUGUGGUGAGUAAAGGGGUGAUAAGGGAGAGGCCGAGGAGCAUGGAAGAAGCCAGGGAAUUCAUCAAGGCGUACUCGGGUGAUCGAGCAUUGGCAGUGAACUACGUUCUCCUGACCAACCUGAGCACCGGCGCUACAAAAGGGGGUUGGGAUAUACCCGAGAUCUGUUUCCACCACAUACCUGUCGAGUUCAUCGAGGAAGUCGUGAAGGAAGGAGACAUGACCUGCGUGGCCGGGGGGCUCAAGCUGACGCAUCCAUCGGUGCUGCCCUUCAUCAAGGAACUGGUCGGUACGGCGGACGGUGUCCGAGGGCUUCCGAGGGAGCUCACGGAGAAGCUCAUUAGAGAAUCGCUGGAAGUGAAUUCCUAG
RNAcentral lists this ribosomal RNA (675 nucleotides) under Triticum aestivum (bread wheat). Its description in RNAcentral is "partial small subunit ribosomal RNA". The record is from RNAcentral. Lineage: Eukaryota; Viridiplantae; Streptophyta; Magnoliopsida; Poales; Poaceae.